This 107-nucleotide small nuclear RNA is filed under the name Catagonus wagneri (Chacoan peccary). Lineage: Eukaryota; Metazoa; Chordata; Mammalia; Artiodactyla; Tayassuidae. The record is from RNAcentral.
GUGCUCGCUUCAGCAGUACAUAUACUAAAUUUGGAACGAUACAGAGAAGAUUAGUAGGGCCCCAGUGCAAGGAUGACACACAAAUUCAUGAAGCGUUCCAUAUUUUU